UACGAAGGGGGCGAGCGUUGUUCGGAUUUACUGGGCGUAAAGGGCGCGCAGGCGGUUCUGUUUGUCGAGUGUGAAAGCCCCGGGCUCAACCUGGGAACUGCGCUCGAAACGGCGGAACUAGAGUUCGGGAGAGGAGAGUGGAAUUCCCAGUGUAGAGGUGAAAUUCGUAGAUAUUGGGAAGAACACCGGUGGCGAAAGCGGCGCACUGGACCACAACUGACGCUGAGGCGCGAAAGCUAGGGGAGCAAACAGG
Molecule: ribosomal RNA, 253 nt
Filed under: uncultured bacterium
Lineage: Bacteria
Description: partial 16S ribosomal RNA
Rfam family: Bacterial small subunit ribosomal RNA
Source: RNAcentral